UACGAAGGGGGCUAGCGUUGCUCGGAAUGACUGGGGCGUAAAGGGCGCGUAGGCGGCUCAUACAGUCAGAUGUGAAAUUCCUGGGCUUAACCUGGGGGCUGCAUUUGAUACGUGUGGGCUUGAGUGGGGAAGAGGGUCGUGGAAUUCCCAGUGUAGAGGUGAAAUUCGUAGAUAUUGGGAAGAACACCGGUGGCGAAGGCGGCGACCUGGUCCUUGACUGACGCUGAGGCGCGAAAGCGUGGGGAGCAAACAGG
This 254-nucleotide ribosomal RNA is filed under the name uncultured bacterium. RNAcentral's name for it is "partial 16S ribosomal RNA". It matches the Rfam family "Bacterial small subunit ribosomal RNA", at positions 524 to 776 of the family's 1533-position model. The record is from RNAcentral.